GAAAUGCGAUAAGUAAUGUGAAUUGCAAUUCCGUGAAUCAUUAAAUCUUUGAACGCACAUUGCGCUUUGUGGUAUUCCGCAGAGCAUGUCUGUUUGAGAAUCAGUACAACCUUCACUCUUGCUUUAUGUGGGAGAGGACUUGGGGCCUUUAAAUCUUUUUGGUUUAAUGCCCUUUAACUGAAUUUUUCGCCUUUCUCUGAUAAAGAGUUGACUGGAAAGCAUGACUAAUGGACUGCAAAGUUCUUAUUAUGCUGACAAAGGUCAUUUCCCAAUCUUAAGGGUGGAAACCAAUAAUACACGAGUUUUAACUCAAGACUUGAUCUCAAAUCAGACAAGACUACCCGCUGAACUUAA
Molecule: unclassified non-coding RNA, 354 nt
Filed under: uncultured fungus
Lineage: Eukaryota; Fungi
Description: sequence contains ITS1
Rfam family: 5.8S ribosomal RNA (bases 1-103)
Source: RNAcentral